UACGGAGGGUGCAAGCGUUUGUCCGGAUUUAUUGGGCGUAAAGCGCACGUAGGCGGCUUAGCAAGUCCCAUGUGAAAGCCCACGGCUUAACCGUGGAAGUGCAUGGGAAACUGCUGAGCUUGAGUACUUUAAGAGGAUCGCGGAAUUCCCGGUGUAGAGGUGAAAUUCGUAGAUAUCGGGGAGGAACACCAGUGGCGAAGGCGGACGAUCUGGGAAGAUACGUGACGCUGAGGUGGCGAAAAGCGUGGGGAGCAAACAGG
This 260-nucleotide ribosomal RNA is filed under the name uncultured bacterium. RNAcentral describes it as "partial 16S ribosomal RNA". It matches the Rfam family "Bacterial small subunit ribosomal RNA", at positions 524 to 776 of the family's 1533-position model. The record is from RNAcentral.